RNAcentral lists this long non-coding RNA (1806 nucleotides) under Rattus norvegicus (Norway rat). RNAcentral describes it as "long non-coding RNA NONRATT014517". The record is from RNAcentral. Lineage: Eukaryota; Metazoa; Chordata; Mammalia; Rodentia; Muridae.
CUGGCCGCGGCAGUGACCGGAGCUGCCGGCCGACAUGAAUUCGCUGGAACAGGCGGAAGGUAAUCUCAAGGCUUUCGAAAGAAGACUUACUGAAUAUAUUCAUUGCUUGCAACCUGCCACUGGACGUUGGAGAAUGCUGCUUAUAGUGGUGUCUGUCUGUACAGCUACUGGUGCCUGGAACUGGCUAAUAGACCCUGAGACACAAAAGGUGUCCUUCCUCACGUCACUGUGGAACCAUCCGUUCUUCACGAUUAGCUGUAUAACGCUGAUAGGCUUGUUCUUUGCUGGAAUACACAAAAGAGUAGUCGCACCAUCAAUUAUAGCUGCUCGAUGUCGAACGGUAUUAGCAGAAUACAAUAUGUCUUGUGAUGACACAGGAAAGCUAAUUUUGAAACCUAGACCUCAUGUUCAAUGACAGUCUGCACUAUUGUAAGGGAACCUAAACCAGUCUUUCCUCAAGUAAGUGAUACCGCAGAAUACCAUAAAGGAUUUCUUUUAGAGUUGGACAUGUGACGGUUUAGCAGCAACUGACAAGAAGCGUGCAAUACUUGCCCAGAUGAUCUUGACGAUGCUGGCCGAGCUCUUGGCGCCUCAGUACCUUUGAUUACCUGUGUUCAGUAUUAGUGUCACUUCAGCACUUCAGCCCCUGCACAGAACUCUGCAGAUGAAGUUUGUGUGUAUUACUAAGUUAAACUUAGAAUCCAGACCUCCUUCAGUUUUUAUAAUGUAUUUUUGCAAAUUACUGUAAAUAGCAAAUCAAUGCCAAUGUUAAACCAAGAGGAAAAUGUUUGGACUUUGUUCUCCUGCACCAGUAUUUCAGGAACCAUCUGCUUGACAUCCCCACAGCUCCUUAAACUGACUGCUACGGGUGCCUUUCAUUCUUAAUGCCUCUUUCCAUUGCGCUGCAGGAAAAACAUCCGAUUUUACUUAGAAUCCCUGAGCCAAUCUCAUCUUCAUUAUGUUGAAAAAUUUAUAGAUGUUUCGACAAUUUUUGUUAGGUCCGAUACUGGAUUCUGGGAACUAUUAUAUUUUUCAGUAAAUUGUUUUGAUUUAACACUAAAUUACUUUUUCUUUUUUGGUUCUUUUUUUUCGGAGCUGGGGACCGAACCCAGGGCCUUGCGCUUCCUAGGUAAGCGCUCUACCACUGAGCUAAAUCCCCAGCCCCUACUAAAUUACUUUUUUUAAAAAAAUUAAAAACCACCCCAAAGUCUUCUGAAUGUACAAGUUAAACAAUGAUGUAUUGUGUGGGAAUUUGACAGUCCUUAUUGUAGGUGACUGGAUGGGUUUUAUGCUGUGGUAGACGUGUCACACUAGUGCUGUACUAGUGGUGGGCCCAGUCCAUCACCAGUAACACAGACCCACACCACAAACCAGAGCGAGCCUGCAGCUCUCCCUGCUGGAGAGUGCUGGUGGCACUGUGUAUGCACAACAGCCACGUUUGCUACAGGAGCAAUGGAAUUGAAAUGGAACUGUUGGGAUUGCUGUAAAUGCUUAAAGUACUAGAGGUGCCUUUUACCUGUUUAUUAGAAGAUUUUGAAAAGGUUAAAUUAUUUCAUGAGCAACAUUUUAAAUUCCAUCCAACAUUAAAUUUGAAUAAUAGAACAAAAACAUUUAACAAAGCUGCCCUUUAACUAACGUGGACUCAUCUUGACUGUCCUGUGUCUAAGAUUGUGUUCUCUGAACUGCAGCAAUAAACCCCCUGCUUCAAAGAACUCUCUAAGAGGGGAUUCUGUAUGUCCUGCAUUGUUUCAUUUUCUGUAAAUUUGUAGUAAAUAUGUGCAUAAAAUAAAUACUUUAUAUAUAACU